This 468-nucleotide ribosomal RNA is filed under the name uncultured bacterium. RNAcentral's name for it is "partial 16S ribosomal RNA". It matches the Rfam family "Bacterial small subunit ribosomal RNA", at positions 28 to 507 of the family's 1533-position model. The record is from RNAcentral.
GACGAACGCUGGCGGCGUGCCUAAUACAUGCAAGUCGAACGGAAAGGCCCUGCCUUUGUUGGGUGCUCGAGUGGCGAACGGGUGAGUAACACGUAAGUAACCUGCCCUUGACUUUGGGAUAACUUCUGGAAACUGGGGCUAAUACCGGAUAGUAGUUCAUGCUGCAUGGUGGGGGUUGGAAAGUUUCGGCGGUUGGGGUAGGACUCGCGGCUUAUCUGCUUGUUGGUGGGGUAGUGGUUUCCCCAGGCCUUGACGGGUAGCCGGCCUGGGAGGGUGACCGGCCACAUUGGUACUGAGGAGCGGGCCGGACUGCUACGUGGGGCAGCAGUGGAGAAUAGUGCGCAAUGGGCGGAGGCCGGAUGCAGCAACGCCGCGUGCUAGAUGACGGCCUUCGGGGUAUAAACCGCGUUCGCCUGGAACGAAGCGUGAGUGACGGUAACUUAUAAGAAAGCACCGGCUAACUACGUG